Molecule: long non-coding RNA, 445 nt
Organism: Meriones unguiculatus (Mongolian gerbil)
Lineage: Eukaryota; Metazoa; Chordata; Mammalia; Rodentia; Muridae
Exons: 3
Source: RefSeq, a predicted model, not a curated record
UUUUUUUUUUUUUUUUUUUUGUUACAUCAGGACCCAACUGGAAAAUAUAAAGAUGAAUUGCUGUAGGCUGGAAAAUCAAUUAAGAAAAAGAGUGUUUUCCAAGAAUGUGGUGCAGACAUGAGCUAUUUUUGAAAACAAAAACAAAAACAACAAACUGUGCUCCUGGGAAACACACCAUCAGUUCACUAAAGCAAUGAACACACCAAGGCACCUUGGGCCUCCGUUUCUUGGAUAUUUACCACAUUCCUUGGUUCACCUACAAGGCUGGAGAAAGAACCUGGGUGCCCAGACGGUGUCCCCAACUCUCAACAGUCCACAUAAAAGUCACCCACCGAAGACGCAAUUGUGAGGGCCUGGAUGGCGAGCCUUUGGCUUUAAUGAAUGUUAUCUCUCCUUACAAACUAAUGGCCAGUCAGAGUUUGCUUUUCUCUUCAGUCCUGAAAAG